RNAcentral lists this ribosomal RNA (547 nucleotides) under uncultured Bacillota bacterium. RNAcentral's name for it is "bacterial SSU rRNA". It matches the Rfam family "Bacterial small subunit ribosomal RNA", at positions 168 to 719 of the family's 1533-position model. The record is from RNAcentral. Lineage: Bacteria; Bacillati; Bacillota.
ACCGGAUAGGACGAAAGUUUAAAGGUGCUUCGGCACCACUGAUGGAUGAGCCUGCGGCGCAUUAGCUAGUUGGUAGGGUAAAGGCCUACCAAGGCGACGAUGCGUAGCCGACCUGAGAGGGUGAACGGCCACACUGGGACUGAGACACGGCCCAGACUCCUACGGGAGGCAGCAGUAGGGAAUCUUCGGCAAUGGGCGAAAGCCUGACCGAGCAACGCCGCGUGAAUGAUGAAGGCCUUCGGGUUGUAAAAUUCUGUUAUAAGGGAAGAAUGGCUCUAGUAGGAAAUGGCUAGAGUGUGACGGUACCUUAUGAGAAAGCCACGGCUAACUACGUGCCAGCAGCCGCGGUAAUACGUAGGUGGCGAGCGUUAUCCGGAAUUAUUGGGCGUAAAGAGCGCGCAGGUGGUUGAUUAAGUCUGAUGUGAAAGCCCACGGCUUAACCGUGGAGGGUCAUUGGAAACUGGUCAACUUGAGUGCAGAAGAGGGAAGUGGAAUUCCAUGUGUAGCGGUGAAAUGCGUAGAGAUAUGGAGGAAUACCAGUGGCGAA